Long non-coding RNA from Chroicocephalus ridibundus (black-headed gull), 11068 nucleotides. RefSeq lists it as uncharacterized. Lineage: Eukaryota; Metazoa; Chordata; Aves; Charadriiformes; Laridae. The record is from RefSeq and is a predicted model, not a curated record. The transcript has 6 exons.
UUGUGCUUUGACUUAUAAAAAGAAAAAACAAAAAGGAGGGGGGAUGCAAAUGCAGUCAUUUCCCUGUGAGGCUUUCAUACACAGUAUUGCCCAUUAUGCAAAUACUCUUUUCUUACACUACCCACACCAUGAUUCCUAAGAUCCUAAGCCAAAUCUCAAAUGAACUAUGGCACAGUCCUCAGUUUCUGCAUAGUAGGACAUCACACAUUCUGUAAGUUAAGAGGACUGAAAUAUUCUUUUAAAACAGUAUAAGUAAUGUUGCAAUUAAAAUCACUGACUCCAGCUUCUUGUUUGGAAGAGCUGUUUAAGAAACUUCUAGUGGAAAUGGCCAAAUGAAACUUUUUUCAUUAAAAAACAUCAGUUUUUCCAAGACAUGUUUAUGUUUCACCAGGAAAAGCUGUUUUACAGUCCCACAGCUGUCACAAGAGGACAGCAAAACUGUCAUUUCAGCUAAGGGAACAGCAGACAGACUAGGAUUAAAAAAGGCAUGGUGAAUCUCCUUCCUUUGUUCUCCUUCCCUUCCAGUAGCAGGAGAAGUUGUGAAGAAACGGUACUCUUACCCUUUGGACAGCCUGAAAGAUUUGGUGGGUUUUAUUUUCAUCAAUAAGGUCUGGGACCCACAGAACUGCCAUUUGACAUCUAGAAUUAAAUUCUGGAGAAACACCAUCCCAUAAAAAGUGCUGAGGGUUUGUUUUUGUUGUUGGCUUUUUUUUUCUUUUUUUUCCCUGUCCAGAACAGUUUCUACUGCACAGAAAUGCCAUUUUCAGCCUUCUGCUGCUGCUUCAUGCUAUAUGGGACAUAGACCAAGAUGGAUAGAUGAAGACGGCCGGGGAGCAGAGCAGGAGCCCUUGCCUGUGUCACUGGCUUGAAAUAAUCUGUAGAUAUUGGGCAUCACCAAUCAGCCAUCCCAUGAAAUUGGGAUCCUUGUGCCAUCAAGACAAAUGGGGAGGGCAUCAAGCUCACACUUCCCAAAUCUUUGUUCUGGGCAUAGGGAAGAGGAUCCAGCCUUCCUGUUAAACCCUGCACAAGCUCCUUGCAGACAUUUAGAUCCAUCAGAAAAGAGUUCACACAAGUUCUCAGUUAAAAGAGGUGGUAUAUAUAUCUCCUUGUGCUGUUACUUGCAGCCCCUGGAAGAUGUCAAAAUCUUGUGGAGGAUGUAUUUGCUGAUCUCUAUCAGCAGUGUAAUGAGACGGGUGACUCAGUGUUGCUCUAAUUAAUGCAUGGAAAGACCUUUUCUAAAAUACAUUUGGUAUGUUUCCCCCUGGAGACAGGAGAUAUCUGCAGCAAGCACAUCCUCCCACACCUCUCCUGGGCACUAGAACUUAUUAGCAAAUCCCCUACUGAUGCUCUUUUACUAGGGCAGGUACUGCUGUAGCAACCACGAUGGCAAAUGCAGGGUAAGUCGAGCUCAGGAAUUUUGGCAAUGGUUUUUAAUUUCAUGCUGUAUCAUCUAACCAUGAAUCCUAAUGGCAUAUGCUAAAGGGCUGUCAUCCCACCUAGUUCUUAGAUCACUGGAAAAAAAAACAACCACCACCCGACCACCCUGCAAACAGAGAUAGAGGGGGAUAAAAACCCAGCAGUGCCCUAGCAAAGCAUUUUGAAGCAUUUAUGCACCACAGGUUAACCUCCUGCCAAUUUUUUCUCACUGGAAGGAUUGACAGGGUUAAUUUGUUUUCAUAAAUUGGUAGAACUUCACAGCUCUGACAUCUGUCAAUACCUUUGGCCAGCAGGUUCAGAGGUUAUUAGUAUGGAACACACAGACACACGCAGAGCUUAGUCAGACAAACCCAAUUGUGUUGGUGAAAGUAGCUUUAAAUAAAGAGAGAGACAGGAAAAAAAAGUGCUUAUCUGAAAACUGGGAGUGAAAGAAAGAACUGGUAUUACUCAGUGAGUGUGAGAUAAUUUCUGUUAUCUUCCCAUCACCUCCUUGAAGUUUGUGCAGUUGUUGCUGGGAUCCUUUGGCCAAGGCCACUAGCACGGGUGGAGCAGAGUAGUCUGACCUGGGACUACCUCCCGAGAGGCAGGCAGAGGGAGGCCAGGAAGACCACCCACUAGGCAGAGAAAGGCUUCUAUCCCUGUGAGGAGAAGAGAACAAUGUCUUCAUCAUUGUGAGGAGAAGACAACAAUGUCUAUUAACUUGCCUGUUUGCAACACCCCAAUCAUCAGUGACCCAGGAGACCACAAAGUCUCCAUUUAUGGCUCUUAGUGGCAAUGAUUUAGAGGGCCUUCCUUAGGUCUCCCUUUCUUCCUGUGUAGCAAUUUUUGGAUUCUUUGCUGGGUUCAUUUACCACUGGCCAUCUCACUCUAGCUUUUACAGCCCUUUUUCACGUGUAGCUGUGUUGGGUUUGUGUGGCGAGGUUUUGGUAGUGAGGGGACCAUGAGAGUGGCUUCUGUGAGAAGCUGCUAGAAGUUUCCCCCAUGUUCAAUAGAACCAAUGCCAGCCGGCUCCAAGAUGGACCUGCCGCUGUCCAAAGCUGAGCCCAUCUGUGAUGGUGGUAGUGUCUCUGGGAUAACGUAUUUAAGAAGGGGUAAAAAAACCUGAGCAAUGUCAGCUGAAGUGAGGACUGAGAAUACAUGAUACAAACACCUCUGCGGACACCAAGGUCAGUGAAGAAGUAGGGGAAGGAGGUGUUCCAGGUGUCAGAGCAGAGAUUCCUCUGCAGCCAGUGGUGAAGACCAUGGUGAGGCAGGCUGUCCACUGUAGCCCAUGGAUGUUAAUGGUGGAGAAGAUAUCCACCUGCAGCCUGUGGAGGACCCAACACCAGAGCAGGUGGAUUCACACAGAGGAGGUUGUAACCCUAUGGGAAGCCCAUGCUGGAGCAGGUGACCCUCUGGAGAGAGGAGCCCACACUGGAGCAGGUUUGCUGGCAGGACUUGUGAUCCUGUGGGGGACCCACUCUGGAGCAGUCUGUUCCUGAAAAACUGCACCCUGUGGAAAGGACCCACACUGGACCAGUUUGUGAAGAGCUGCAGCCUGUGGGAAGGAAUCACGAUGGAGAAGUUCAUGGAGGACUGUCUUCUGUGGGAGGGACCCUAUGCUGGAGCAGGGGAAGAGUGUGAGGAUUCCUUCCCCUGAGGAGGAAGGAGCAGGAGAGACAACGUGUGAUGAACUGACCACAACCCUCAUUCCCCAUCCCGCUGCGCCACUUGAGGGGAGGAGACAGAGAAAUCAGGAGUGACGUUGAGCCCAGGAAGAAGGGAGGGGUGGAGGAAGCAAACACAGUUUAUUCAACCAGGGACACAGUUUCACUCUCUCAUCAGAACCAAGAUGAAAGUUCUCAGAUCUGCCCUCAUGGGAAGCAAUCUCGAAUAUUUGUGAGGCUGGUGAGGACAACCCUACUCCCAGGAGGUACUGCAGUGGUGUCAAGGAGGCUUGGGCAUGGGCAUUGCUAGUCUCCUCCAUUGAGACUCGUUGAAUGGCAGCUGCAGAGUCACCCCCACACCUCUUUCUUGAGGACUCCUUUCUCAUUAAGCUUCUCCACAUUCUCUCACUUUGCCUUCGGACACAUAUCCUGGAAAACACACUUAUUUUCCUCUGAAAGAGGAUACUGUUUGCAAUACCUGCUGGGUUUGUGUGAGCUGAUGGGACCAACAAGAAAGGAACCUGCAAUGCAGCUUACACUCCUGCAAGCCCCCAGAAAACACCACAUCUAGUUGAAUAUGCUUAUAUAUAUAAAUAAAUAUAUACCUUGGGUUUAAACAUGGGAGGUGAAGCUGUGAGAAAACCCAGAGAACACUGCAGAGAUACACUUUUGUACCUUAAUAUGGGCCUGUACAGGGUGAGGUACCAAUUUGCUAAUUAAGUGGUGUCAACAACAACUCUGAAAUCACACCAGAAGCAUCUUAUAGCAUGGCUGUAGCCGUAGGCUGAGAAUGAACCCGUUAUUAGUGAACAUAAUUAGGACAAGACAAGCUUGUCAUUGCUUCUUUUGAGUUUUGCUCCUUUUCUGUAGCACAAGGUAGAGGCUACAUUUUCCAGCCCAUAGUCUCCCGGAGAUUUUGAUCUAUUUCUGCAUGACUUCUUCAGGAUUUUGAGUCAUUAAGUCAUUAAUUUUUUCUCUUAGUUUCAUUAAACAAUAUGACACAAACUGCACAGAAAACUGCUUCAUUUGCUAAUCAUUAAUUCCUUCAAGCAUUGAAACAGCACCUGAUCAGCUUCUCUUGCAACAUAGUUAGCUUGCCUUGUUAAUAUUUCAACAUAAAAUUUUUUCUAGUUUGUAUGUAGAAAAAAUACACCCGUAUAUAGUUCUUUCUCCCACCAGUCCUAUGACAGCCAAAAAGAGGGAUAUAGCCAGUAUCUGUAAAUCAUGAAAGGCCUACAGAAAGUGAACAGGAACUGGUUUGUUCAGGUGGUUGUUGGUGUUGUUUUUUUUAACAAAAAGUGGAUUACAUCAAAUAAAACCAUGGAGAGACAGGGUAAAAGCAUGUAAAAAAGUAACUGCUACUUCACACAGCAUAUAUCUGCUCUGAGGAGAUCCAUUUCAUAGCUGAAUUGUAUAACUGAUACAGCCCAGGCAGCUACGUGUUUGCACUCAAAAGAAUCUGUGCUGUUAUUGACAUUCUGCUUGCACUGAAUGCAAGCUUCUUGUGCUUUUUGCUUCUUCUGCCCAAAUGAGACAAAGUAAAAUUCCUCCACCUCAUAGGAAUUUUCACAUUGUCUCUUGAUCCAAGUACUAUCUGCUCUUCCUUUUUUUUUACAAGCCUAGACUGUGUCCCCUGAGAUACUAGUUUUCCAAAAUUCCCAGAAAGCCAGUAACGUAUAUGUCAAAGUUUUGCCCAGUUAUCAGAAAGUAAUAAUGAAGCUCUUUUUACCUGCUGCCUCAGAAGAAUCUCAGAAGAGUAUUUUCAUCUAGUAGCUUCCCCUUCAAAAGUUCCAUCUCCACUCAAAACAUUUUUAGAGCUUUCACGUUUGCAUUUAGACAAGAAAAUUUGUCCACCUAUGGGGUUAUGCAGCACAUGAGGAGGCUCAGACUUCAUUGUUAGCUAAAUGGUUUUUGCAUAGAAUGGAGAGGCACUCCAAUUUGAUCUGGUUCCUGUCUGAAUUACAUAAAAACCUGAAACCCAUUGGAAAUGGGAAGAAAUCUCAAGCAGUGUUGUGAGUUGCCCUUCAGUGCAUUUUAUAGUAAGUAACACAACACAGCCUCCAGGCCCCUGCUACAUUAUGGCUUACCUACCAUGAUUCGGACUAUCUAGCUCCUUCUUCAUAGCUAACUACUAAGAGCAAUAUAAUACCGUCCAUGCUGUAUGAGUCUUGCAAAAGAAAACAGCUGGAUCUUGAUGUGAAGGAACCUUACUUGGAAUGUCCACCCAUUGUCGGUCGUUAUAUCACUCUUAACACAUUCCACAAGCACAGAGGGUGUGGAAUUUGGAUAAUGAGGUGAAUUCUCUGUGCUCAAAGAGCAAUUAAGACUGGCUUUGCUAUCUCUUGUGCAACCCAGGGGAGUGAAGGCUUGUCUGGCUAUCACAGGAUACAUAAAUAACAGGGUAGUCUUGGGGAGCCAGGACAGCCCUGCUUGUCUUGGGGAGCCAGGACAGCCCUGCUUUUCGUCAGCAGAGACAGUAAAAUCAAGAUAACAGAGACUUUGUGUAGCUCUUUGUUUCCUUGAGAGGCUACCAUGCCCGGUAAUUGACCUUUGCCUCAUUACCUGUGAAAUGCAUAUUAAAGUUGCAUAUGCUAAUGAAGAUUUUAGAGAUCAUGCUAAACAUAUAUGACUAUAGCACUCGUCUCUCCACCCAAAUCAUACUACACGUCACCUAGGGGAGGGAAACCUCGUAAUUUUGGAGAUAAAAGGAUGGAGAAAAUGACUGUUAAAUUGGGAGAGAAGAAACUUGAUACCUGACCGAUCAGUCGACGGGCUGCGUUCUCUUCCUCCACCCCAGGCAGGGACGCCUUUCUGGGUUACCUGGACAUGUUUAGUUCCUUUUCCCCUUGCACUUGUUGCCGUCUGACCUCGUCUAUUCUGCAAGGAGCUGCAUCUGAAUAAUUAAUGUAGCACCCUUCAGGAAAUCAGAUUGAUUCUUUUUAAUACCUGCUUUACGGCAGGAUUUGCAAAUUGCAAAAGAGAGAAAAAGUGGUUUAAAAGAUGAUAUGGUUUGAUAACCUACCACCUCCAUCUUUUCUCUUCAAGUUGCCCUACUGGGAUUCAAUGCAAAGGAUAAAUUAAAGUGAACAGCAGCAUCUUUGGGACACUUACAUAUUUUAAUGUUGUAGAGUGCACUGAGAUCUUUGCACAGGAAAGAUAUCCUACUGUGUUAUUGUGAGUGAGCAAUAAAGGAGCUUGCAAAAAGGUGCAGUGGCUGCAGAGGUUUCUUGGCAACAUUGAUCCCUGAAAGUCCCUCCCUGAGGGCCCAAGUUAAACACCCUGAUUUGGAGAGCUGUGCCUCGUAUGAUCAUGUCCUCCUGGAUAACUUCAGCAGCCUUCCUGCUAGAUUUUGUGGAUCCCACUUUAAGACGUUUGACUUUUCCUGACCUACAACAGCAGCCUACGUAUCUAAUGGAGUCAUAUGAAUUCCAUGAUGUUGAAGACACCUAAAAAUGAAGUGCCACCAUGGCAAGCUACACAAAAUCCACAGCUUCUGUGUUUUCAGCCUUACUUGUUUAUCUCUGGAUAUAGCAACAAUGCCUUGCUAUCUACUUGCAGUGGACACUUUAUCUCUGUGUGUUUGGUUAACCUCUUUUCCUCAGUGGCAUGGGAUCAAAUCCAUCUGGGGAAAUACCAAAAAGGCACGAGACUUCCAUCCACAAACACUAUGGAAUGUAAUCCAUGCUUUGUAACCACCCACUUUCCUCCCUUCAACUGAAUCUACUGAACUUUGUGUGGCUGUCUUCCUUGCUUCUGGAAUACUGCCUUUGAUUAACAGUAAUGUAACUUGGCCGUACUCUGGAAUCUCCAUGGGAGUCUAUUCUCUCCUUUCAGAUAUUCAGAUAGUUUGCUUUUCUCAGUAUUGCUUUCCUCCCAUUUUUACUUUUUAAAACUGCUGGAAGGUUUUUAUAGUCUGCACAGUCCUGUACAUCAGUGACAAAGGCAAGAGAGUGUUCCUGCUAGUGCCAUCCUGAGCAGUGAGCUGCCACAUACUACAUUCAUUUCCUGUGUCUGAAAAUCUCUAAAGCUGUGAGAUUCCAAAAGUAAACAAAUGUAAUCUUUUUUGGAAGAUGGAAUACAUUGGCAGGUAAAUCUUAAUGACAAUUGCCUCUAAUUAGCACUCCCACCAGAUGACAAAUUUUUUAGUCACAUCAAAGUGUCACUUGAAAAUGUGUAUAUUCUUGUUUUGCCUUUGAAAACAUCGAAGAAAAAUCAUAUAUAUUGGUUUUAUUCUAUUGCCAUAAAUUUUCAUUAAAAGAGGGGAAAAAAUGAGAGGUGAAAGGCAGAAAAUGAGAAAUGGCUUUGAGGAAAGGAGGUCUACUUUGAGUGGAGGAUUGCACUCCAUUCUGCAGCCGGUUUCCUAUUUCGAACAGGUACUCUUUCAGCCUCUUGCACUCACACCCAAAGCUUCUUCAUGAGCAUUAUGGAGAGAUUUAAUUGUGAAUAGGUACUGAGAGACACUGGGUCCACUGAGCCAGGCUUUCACCGACUGAGAACUGAAAACACGCAGUGGGGACUCUCUGUGACUAGCAACUUUUUGAAUGAGUGAAAAGUGGGAUGUAAUGCAAGGGCUAUUUCAAACUGGGGUACCUUCACUAAAAUACACAAAAAACAUAUUCUCCUUCUUUUCUUUUUAUUGCAUGGAAACUAGAAUGGUUUUAAAAUUGAUUUCUAUGACAGUCAGUUUCCAUCUGAGGUAAUUCUUCACUGGGGUCAAUGGGACUGGGCAGAGCUGCUGUUGUAGAUGUCCGUAUCACAACAGUUGACUGAACUUACAUUUCUGUGGUUUUCUUGGAAAAACACAGUAGCUAGAAGCUUUUCUUAAAAUAAUCGGUGAAAUUCAGAAGAAUCAAAAGCAUCAUCUGAGAGAAGCCUGUGCUACACAUUGCUUCCCUACUGCCUCUGCUUCCACAUGCACACUGAGAAAUGUGGUAACGCAUCUGUUCCCAUAACGUGGUGCAGCCUGCUUCUUCCUCUUCCUUAAGUAAGAAACAUAGAUGCCACACACUGUCUUUUUAACAGGUGCAUGAUUAAAUACUGCCAUAGGCCCAUGGUAGGUAUUCACAGAUAGUUUUGAAAAAAUCAUCUUUGUAGGAUAAAGAUUGAUGGGAUUCACAGUGAUUUUUUUUUAGUUCCUAUGGGAACAAUUUCCAUUUAUGCUAAGGACUGUUGUGCCCCAAAAUUAUGGUUACCGAUCUCAGGUGGGAGUGCUGCUGCCUAACUUUUAUCUUGCGGAAUGAUUCUGCCUAUCUAAAUAUAUGACAUUUCUCUCUUCUUUAUUCUUUUACAGUACAUGCUAUCCAUUUUUCUGAGAUCUUUUUUGAAUCCUCAUCCUAGUCUCCAAAUAUUUGCAAACAUUUUACAGUUUUAUAUUACUUGCUAAUUCAAUAAGGACAUUCUAUAUUCCUUCAUCCAAGUCUUUAAAAAAGCAUUUAACAGGACCAGAUGGAUUCUUGCAGAACACCAUCCAAUACCUUCUUUCAGUUUGACAUUAAACCUUUGAUAAUUAGUCUUUGAAUCCACCUCCCCGACCUUCACUUAGUCUAUGCUGUACCCUCACUUCUUGAGCUGUAAAGCAGGGGUGACAGCAUUCCUGUAACUCAUGGAAUUGCCCUGACAAUAAAUUUAGCUGUAGUUGUCAGAUCCAACAUGCUGUAGUAGGCUGAAAAACAGAUUUUGUCUACCUUCCUAUGAUCCUAGCUGUUGAAGUGAUCUUUCUCAUCACACGCAAUGAAGAGCAACAUGUACACACGUUUAUUCUGACCCCUUAUCUACAUAUGGAAAUGUUAAUUGUAAUUCCAACGUUAAUUGGAAUUUCCUGAAAUAUGUCCAGACAGAGUUGGUUUUCUUUGUCGGGGGGAAAAAAUUCCCUUUUGAGGGCCUAGGAAGGGCAGCUGGUUCACCAUAUUCUCUUAUGCCAAAGCAUAAGGAAUGACAAACUAAACAAGAAUAAACAGAGAAAGGAAUGACCAAGAGAAACAGAGAAUAAGUCAACUUUCCCUCCUACCCUCUGCCCCAGAUUUCCAAAGCACUAAGUACAUAUCUUCUGUUGACUUACAUGGUCACUGAGUAAUUCAAAUCUGAGAAUAUAUUCAGAUCUGUCUUGUCUUUUUAUCCUGACCACACAAUCCAGCCUUUGUUCUGGCACUGUAGAAUGAAAUAAUUGACUGUAGUGGAUUAUGCAUUCCAGUUUAUACCAUGGCCAAAUUCUGACAUAGUAAAGCCCUCAACAGUAAGGGCUAUUGUUUAAUUACAGAACAUAAGAGCACGAGGGCCUCAGAGAAGAAAAACAGAGUCCUUGUUUCAAGACAAAAGAGGAAAAGGUUCAUCCCAAUUAGGAGUUAUCCUUAGGUCAAUUUGUAGCCUCCCAGGGCACUCCACCCACAAGUAUGUUAUUAUUUAUCUUGAGCACUCCUACUGUUAUAUGUCUGGUAAAAAGUUAUCCACACAAAGGUUGAUUGCCAACUCCUUCUAGACAUGUCAGGCUUCCCAUGUGACAUGAUCCAACAUUCAGGGACCACACAGACCUUGCAGUAAUCACAGAGGAGGAGAUUGCCGCCUCUUGCUCAAUGCUCAGAUUUAUGAAUCCUUUUUUUGGUCCUAUUGUUGUUCCAAGCUACUGCUCUGGUGAAUGAAAAUGGACAGGUAUCUCCAGAUGGCAACUGAGAUCUUCAGACUGCUGAAUUUUCUUUAGAAAAUGCCUUUUUCUUUCAGUUUUCUAGGGAAGGAACUCCAUGCCCAAUUUAGAUUCCUUUGUUAAACACAUUUUUUCAGUCUGGGCAAAUAUGAGGCUAUCUGUAGGUGUUAUUCUAUGAUAGUCAACAAACUUAAAAGCAGCCAGAAACCUCAGCUGACGCAUCCUUUGUGUCCUAAACUGGUACCAGGCCAUUUCAUCCAUCAAAAUAAUGUUUCAUAUCAAUUUCUAAUUUUUCUGUCUCCAAAUACAGUUGGUGGGAAAGCGCAUUACAGCACUUUACAUUAUAAACAUUUAAAUUCUACUGCUUACUGGACUCAUACAUUUUUAUUGUGUUGAGGAUGUCAGCAAAAUAAUUACAAGAUUUUAAAAUGCUGCUUUUUGAGAAACUUUAAGUGUAUUUGUAUUAAAUUAUCUUUACUGCCAAUGACUCCUGACCACUAUUUUAUGGGCCCAUCAGAGGUUUUUCCAGGUUCCUCUUUAAUUAUUAAAAAUAAAAAUUUGUCAAGUUUUUCUUGGUAUUCAUGCAUUUCACUCAUUGCAAUUAUCCAAACUGGGAUUAGACAAUACCUUAAAAAAACUAUAGCCCCCUUCGUAAUCUAAUUAUCAGAACCUCACAAACUGCAGCUAUUAAACCUAAGGUGAAGCACCAGCUGAGCGUACCAUAACAUGCAUCCUCACCCCAUGAAGCUGGUAUCCACGGGGACCACACACAUUAAAAACCACAUUAGCAUGUUGUCCAUAUGUCACCAAUACAAAUAUCUGGAAGGUAAAGUUAACAAUGUGGUUUUACUUCCUUUGCCAUCUCAGUUUCAUUUUCUGGUUCUCCUUAUUUUUGCUAGCACAAGUGUCUAUGUCUCUAAUUCUCCAUACGCGAGCAGUAGCUUUUCUGUGUGUCAUGGUUUAACCCCAGCCAGCAACUAGGACCACACAACUGCUUGCUCACUCCCUCCCAGUAGGGCAGGGAGAAGAGGGAGAAAAGGAGGGGGGAAAAAACACAAACAACAGAACCCCUAAUGGGUUGAGACAAAGAUAAUUUAAUACAACAGUAACAGAAGACCAAAAAAAAGACAAAUAUAAUAAUGGUAAAAGCAUAUGCAAACUAAAGUGAUACAGAAUCACAGAAUCACACAAAAUGGUUCAGGUUGGAAGGGACCUUAAAGAUCAUCUAGUUCCAACCCCCUGCCAUGGGCAGGGACACCUCCCACUAGACCAGGCUGCUCAAAGCCUCAUCCAGCCUGGCCUUGAACACAAUACAGGUAGCUACAACACAACUAGCUCUCACCACUCA